UCAAGUAAUUAAGUGCAUGUGGUGGAUGCCUUGGCAGUCAGAGGCGAUGAAAGACGUGAUAGCCUGCGAAAAGCUCCGGGGAGGCGGCAAAUAUCCUUUGAUCCGGAGAUGUCUGAAUGGGGGAACCCACCUACUUUAAGGUAGGUAUUGCAACAUGAAUACAUAGUGUUGCAAGGCGAACGAGGGGAAGUGAAACAUCUCAGUACCCUUAGGAAAAGAAAUCAAUUGAGAUUCCCUCAGUAGCGGCGAGCGAACGGGGAUCAGCCCAUUAAGUUAUGUGUGUUUUAGUGGAACGCUCUGGGAAGUGCGAACGUAGAGGGUGAUAUUCCCGUACACGAAAGGGCACACAUAAUGAUGACGAGUAGGGCGAGGCACGUGAAACCUUGUCUGAAUAUGGGGGGACCAUCCUCCAAGGCUAAAUACUCCUGACUGACCGAUAGUGAACCAGUACCGUGAGGGAAAGGCGAAAAGAACCCCUGUGAGGGGAGUGAAAUAGAUCCUGAAACCGCAUGCAUACAAGCAGUGGGAGCACCUUCGUGGUGUGACUGCGUACCUUUUGUAUAAUGGGUCAGCGACUUAUAUUCAGUAGCGAGGUUAACCGUAUAGGGGAGCCGUAGAGAAAUCGAGUCUUAAUAGGGCGUUUAGUUGCUGGGUAUAGACCCGAAACCAGGCGAUCUAUCCAUGAGCAGGUUGAAGGUUGGGUAACACUAACUGGAGGACCGAACCCACUGUCGUUGAAAAGCCAGGGGAUGACUUGUGGAUAGGGGUGAAAGGCUAAUCAAGCCUGGUGAUAGCUGGUUCUCCCCGAAAGCUAUUUAGGUAGCGCCUCGGACGAAUACCAUAGGGGGUAGAGCACUGUUUCGGCUAGGGGGUCAUCCCGACUUACCAAACCGAUGCAAACUCCGAAUACCUAUGAGUACUAUCCGGGAGACAGACUGCGGGUGCUAACGUCCGUAGUCAAGAGGAAAACAAUCCAGACCGCCAGCUAAGGCCCCAAAAUCAUAGUUAAGUGGGAAACGAUGUGGGAAGGCAUAGACAGCUAGGAGGUUGGCUUAGAAGCAGCCACCCUUUAAAGAAAGCGUAAUAGCUCACUAGUCGAGUCGGCCUGCGCGGAAGAUGUAACGGGGCUAAAACUAUGUGCCGAAGCUGCGGAUGUAUACUUUGUAUACGUGGUAGGGGAGCGUUCUGUAAGCCGAUGAAGGUGUGUUGAGAAGCAUGCUGGAGGUAUCAGAAGUGCGAAUGCUGACGUGAGUAACGACAAAACGGGUGAAAAACCCGUUCGCCGAAAGACCAAGGGUUCCAGUCCAACGUUAAUCGGGGCUGGGUGAGUCGACCCCUAAGGCGAGGCCGAAAGGCGUAGUCGAUGGGAAAAUGGUUAAUAUUCCAUUACUUCUGUGUAAUGCGAUGAGAGGACGGAGAAGGCUAAAUCAGCCUGGCGUUGGUUGUCCAGGUGAAAGGAUGUAGGCAUGUAUCUUAGGCAAAUCCGGGGUACUCUAUGCUGAGAUCUGAUAGCAAGCUGUACUUGUACAGCGAAGUGGUUGAUGCCAUGCUUCCAGGAAAAGUCUCUAAGCUUCAGUUACACAGGAAUCGUACCCGAAACCGACACAGGUGGUCAGGUCGAGUAGACCAAGGCGCUUGAGAGAACUCUGCUGAAGGAACUAGGCAAAAUGGUACCGUAACUUCGGGAGAAGGUACGCUGUUGUUGGUGAUGGAACUCGCUUCCUGAGCUGACGACAGCCGCAGAAACCAGGCCGCUGCAACUGUUUAUUAAAAACAUAGCACUCUGCAAACACGAAAGUGGACGUAUAGGGUGUGAUGCCUGCCCGGUGCUGGAAGGUUAAUUGAUGGGGUUAGCGUAAGCGAAGCUCUUGAUCGAAGCCCCAGUAAACGGCGGCCGUAACUAUAACGGUCCUAAGGUAGCGAAAUUCCUUGUCGGGUAAGUUCCGACCUGCACGAAUGGCAUAAUGAUGGCGGCGCUGUCUCCAGCAGAGGCUCAGUGAAAUCGAAAUCGCUGUGAAGAUGCAGUGUACCCGCGGCUAGACGGAAAGACCCCGUGAACCUUUACUGCAGCUUGACACUGAACUUUGACCUUACUUGUGUAGGAUAGGUGGGAGGCUUUGAAGCUGGAACGCUAGUUCCAGUGGAGCCGUCCUUGAAAUACCACCCUGGUAAUGUUGAGGUUCUAACUCUGUCCCGUGAUCCGGGACGAGGACCGUGUCUGGUGGGUAGUUUGACUGGGGCGGUCUCCUCCUAAAGAGUAACGGAGGAGUACGAAGGUGCGCUCAGCGUGGUCGGAAAUCACGCGUAGAGUAUAAAGGCAAAAGCGCGCUUAACUGCGAGACCCACAAGUCGAGCAGGUACGAAAGUAGGUCUUAGUGAUCCGGUGGUUCUGUAUGGAAGGGCCAUCGCUCAACGGAUAAAAGGUACUCUGGGGAUAACAGGCUGAUACCGCCCAAGAGUUCAUAUCGACGGCGGUGUUUGGCACCUCGAUGUCGGCUCAUCUCAUCCUGGGGCUGAAGCA
RNAcentral lists this ribosomal RNA (2521 nucleotides) under Acinetobacter baumannii 25935_5. RNAcentral's name for it is "bacterial LSU rRNA". It matches the Rfam family "Bacterial large subunit ribosomal RNA", at positions 3 to 2560 of the family's 2925-position model. Lineage: Bacteria; Pseudomonadati; Pseudomonadota; Gammaproteobacteria; Moraxellales; Moraxellaceae. The record is from RNAcentral.